This 511-nucleotide ribosomal RNA is filed under the name uncultured bacterium. RNAcentral describes it as "partial 16S ribosomal RNA". The record is from RNAcentral.
GGAGUUAGCCGGUGCUUCUUCUGCGAGUAACGUCACAGAUGUAAGGUAUUAACUUACACCCUUUCCUCCUCGCUGAAAGUGCUUUACAACCCGAAGGCCUUCUUCACACACGCGGCAUGGCUGCAUCAGGGUUUCCCCCAUUGUGCAAUAUUCCCCACUGCUGCCUCCCGUAGGAGUCUGGGCCGUGUCUCAGUCCCAGUGUGGCUGAUCAUCCUCUCAGACCAGCUAGGGAUCGUCGCCUAGGUGAGCCUUUACCUCACCUACUAGCUAAUCCCACCUGGGCUUAUCCAUCAGCGCAAGGCCCGAAGGUCCCCUGCUUUCCCCCGUAGGGCGUAUGCGGUAUUAGCAGUCGUUUCCAACUGUUAUCCCCCACAAAUGGGCAAAUUCCCAGGCAUUACUCACCCGUCCGCCGCUCGUCAUCUUCAAAGCAAGCUUUUGAAAUGUUACCGCUCGACUUGCAUGUGUUAGGCCUGCCGCCAGCGUUCAAUCUGAGCCAUGAUACAACUCUAGA